This 250-nucleotide long non-coding RNA is filed under the name Cavia porcellus (domestic guinea pig). Its description in RNAcentral is "lncRNA (ENSCPOG00000030143.1)". Lineage: Eukaryota; Metazoa; Chordata; Mammalia; Rodentia; Caviidae. The record is from RNAcentral.
UAAAAUUCCAAACGGAGGUGUCUGCCAUGCAGAGUGGAAAUUUCCUGAGCCCUUGCUCUGGGGACCUGACUUUCAGUUUCUCCCAGCAGUGACUGCUCAUACCUGGUUCUCCUUCCCAGCCAGGCCAGAGGCGGCACCACCAAGCCAGGCAUGGCGAAGGGCACGGGAUCUGGGCUCAGCUCUGCUCCCCGCCUGCAGGCUGUCUUUGAGAUCCCCCGGGGUUCCUUAAGCCAGAGCUCUUGAGUCUCCA